RNAcentral lists this ribosomal RNA (497 nucleotides) under uncultured bacterium. Its description in RNAcentral is "bacterial SSU rRNA". It matches the Rfam family "Bacterial small subunit ribosomal RNA", at positions 30 to 518 of the family's 1533-position model. The record is from RNAcentral.
UGAACGCUAGCGAUAGGCUUAACACAUGCAAGUCGAGGGGCAGCACGGUGUAGCAAUACACGUGGUGGCGACCGGCGUACGGGUGCGUAACACGUAUGCAACCUACCCGCUAUUGGGGGAUAACCCGGCGAAAGUCGGACUAAUAUCCCAUAUUAUUCUUACCGGGCAUCCGGUGAGUCUGAAAGAUUUAUCGAUUGCGGAUGGGCAUGCGGAUGAUUAGCUAGUAGGUGGGGUAACGGCUCACCUAGGCGACGAUCAUUAGGGGUUCUGAGAGGAAGGUCCCCCACACUGGAACUGAGACACGGUCCAGACUCCUACGGGAGGCAGCAGUGAGGAAUAUUGGUCAAUGGGCGCUAGCCUGAACCAGCCAAGUCGCGUGAAGGAUGACAGAAUCUAUGGUUUGUAAACUUCUUUUGCAGGGGAGUAAAGUGCGACACGUGUGUUGUAUUGCAAGUACCCUGCGAAUAAGCAUAGGCUAACUCCGUGCCAGCAGCUGC